Molecule: long non-coding RNA, 232 nt
Filed under: Pan troglodytes (chimpanzee)
Lineage: Eukaryota; Metazoa; Chordata; Mammalia; Primates; Hominidae
Description: long non-coding RNA NONPTRT016064
Source: RNAcentral
AGUAGGAAGAAUUAGCUGACAGAUAGUUGAAAUUUUGACUCUAGACUUGGAACUGACAAGUUGAGUCUUGUCUUUGUACUCAGUGUUCUACUAAAAUCAUUGAUUAGAGUAGUAUAAGUGCUUUAUUAGAGAUAUCACCAGGAAUGUUUUAAGAAUAGAGAAAGGGGGGUCAUGAAAUACUUCUGAGUUGUCAUGAGUUGAGUCUUGAAAAAUAAGCAGGAGUUAGCCAGGC